GAUGAACGCUGGCGGCGCGCCUAACACAUGCAAGUCGAACGAAGCUUGACGGAUGAUUUCUUCGGAAUGAAACCAGAUAUGACUUAGUGGCGGACGGGUGAGUAACACGUGAGCAACCUGCCUUUCAGAGGGGGAUAACGGCUGGAAACGGUCGCUAAUACCGCAUGAUGUGUUCGGAUGGCAUCAUCUGAACAUCAAAGAUUUAUCGCUGAAAGAUGGGCUCGCGUCUGAUUAGAUAGUUGGUGGGGUAACGGCCUACCAAGUCUACGAUCAGUAGCCGGACUGAGAGGUUGAACGGCCACAUUGGGACUGAGAUACGGCCCAGACUCCUACGGGAGGCAGCAGUGGGGAAUAUUGCACAAUGGGGGAAACCCUGAUGCAGCAACGCCGCGUGAAGGAUGACGGUUUUCGGAUUGUAAACUUCUUUUCUUAGUGACGAAGACAGUGACGGUAGCUAAGGAAUAAGCAUCGGCUAACUACGUG
This 483-nucleotide ribosomal RNA is filed under the name uncultured bacterium. RNAcentral describes it as "partial 16S ribosomal RNA". It matches the Rfam family "Bacterial small subunit ribosomal RNA", at positions 28 to 507 of the family's 1533-position model. The record is from RNAcentral.